Molecule: ribosomal RNA, 574 nt
Filed under: Ceriodaphnia sp. 7 PS-2012
Lineage: Eukaryota; Metazoa; Arthropoda; Branchiopoda; Diplostraca; Daphniidae
Description: eukaryotic LSU rRNA
Rfam family: Eukaryotic large subunit ribosomal RNA
Source: RNAcentral
UUAGUAGCGGCGAGCGAACAGGGAUGAGCCCAGCACCGAACCUCGCGCCCGGUUGAGCGGGUGCCGAGGAAUGUGGUGUUCGGGAGGAUCGUGCGCGCCUGUCCGGUAUUUAUCGUCCAAGUCUCCAUGAACGGGGCGAGCAACCCACAGAGGGUGUCAGGCCCGUAGCUUAGACGAGCCGAGACCGUGCAUUGGAUCCCUUCCCAAGAGUCGGGUUGCUUGAGCGUGCAGCCCUAAGCGGGAGGUAAACUCCUUCUAAGGCUAAAUAUCGCCACGAGACCGAUAGCGAACAAGUACCGCGAGGGAAAGUUGAAAAGAACUUUGAAGAGAGAGUUCAAGAGUGCGUGAAACCGUUCAGGGGGUUAAACGGGUGGGCCCUCGAAGGUCGAACGAGCCCCCGCUCCCGGCACUUGGUUGCAUGCCCCCGCUGCGAGAGACUCUCUGAAUUGGGAGCUCGAUCGCCGGUGGGGAACGCAUUAGCCGCGCCAAGGUCCGCUAGUGGGGGGCCUAGUAGGACUCCGCGACCGACUGGGUGUCCUGUCAUACGGGGCGUUUGUUAGAGAGUUUGUCGGGG